GAUGAACGCUGGCGGCGUGCCUAAUACAUGCAAGUCGAGCGAACAGACGAGGAGCUUGCGCCUCUGACGUUAGCGGCGGACGUGUGAGUAACACGUGGAUAACCUACCUAUAAGACUGGUAUAACUUCGGGAAACCGGAGCUAAUACCGGAGAAUAUAUUGAACCGCAUUGGUCAAUAGUGAAAGACGGCGGUUCUGUCACUUAUAGAGGGAUCCGCGCCGCAUUAGCUAGUUGGUAAGGUAACGGGUUACCAAGGGAACGAUGCGUAGCCGACCUGAGAGGGUGAUCGGCCACACUGGAACUGAGACGCGGUCCAGACUCCUACGGGAGGCAGCAGUAGGGAAUCUUACGCAAUGGGCGAAAGCCUGACGGAGCAACGCCGCGUGAGUGAUGACGGUCUUCGGAUCGUAAAACUCUGUUAUUAGGGAAGAACAAAUGUGUACGUAACUAUGCACGUCUUGACGGUACCUAAUCAGAAAGCCACGGCUAACUACGUG
RNAcentral lists this ribosomal RNA (497 nucleotides) under uncultured bacterium. RNAcentral's name for it is "partial 16S ribosomal RNA". It matches the Rfam family "Bacterial small subunit ribosomal RNA", at positions 28 to 507 of the family's 1533-position model. The record is from RNAcentral.